UGUUAAUGCUCUUCCCGGAUCUAUGGUA
RNAcentral lists this non-coding RNA (28 nucleotides) under Bombyx mori (domestic silkworm). The record is from RNAcentral. Lineage: Eukaryota; Metazoa; Arthropoda; Insecta; Lepidoptera; Bombycidae.